GCAGUGCCCCGGCGUGUCGCUGGUCUUCAUGGUAAGACGAGAGGAAAGUCCGGGCAGCACAGAGCAUCCCACUUCCGAAAAUAGAAGCUAUUGGUGACAGUAGGUGUAGGCAGAAGAAAAUAACCGCCUUGUUGAGUCUUUAGAUGAAAGCAGGGUAAGGGUGAGAAGGUGGUGUAAGAGACCACCAGAUGACGGGUGAUUGUCAUGCUGUGUCGGCUGGGAGCUGUAAGCUCAUGUAUACCGCAGACAGAGGGUUGCUCGCCCGAGUGUCUUUUAUGGCAGCUGCGGAGGGUAGAGUGCUCAAGCCCUGGGGUGACUCAGGGAUUAGAUAAAUGACAUGCACCUGCACUUUGUUGCAGGAACAGAACUCGGCUUAUAGGGGCACUGCUUUC
Molecule: non-coding RNA, 392 nt
Organism: Prevotella sp. CAG:386
Lineage: Bacteria; Pseudomonadati; Bacteroidota; Bacteroidia; Bacteroidales; Prevotellaceae
Rfam family: Bacterial RNase P class A
About the family: Ribonuclease P (RNase P) is a ubiquitous endoribonuclease, found in archaea, bacteria and eukarya as well as chloroplasts and mitochondria.
Source: Rfam